CGGAAGGAGCGCUUUUAUUAGAUCAAAACCAAUCGGUGGCGGGUUCCUCGUCAUCGUAUAACUUGGUGACUCUGAAUAACUUUAAGCUGAUCGCACGGUCUAGCACCGGCGACGCAUCUUUCAAAUGUCUGCCUUAUCAACUGUCGAUGGUAGGUUCUGCGCCUACCAUGGUCGUAACGGGUAACGGGGAAUCAGGGUUCGAUUCCGGAGAGGGAGCCUGAGAAACGGCUACCACAUCCAAGGAAGGCAGCAGGCGCGCAAAUUACCCACUCCCGGCACGGGGAGGUAGUGACGAAAAAUAACGAUACGGGACUCAUCCGAGGCCCCGUAAUCGGAAUGAGUACACUCUAAACCCUUUAACGAGGAUCAAUUGGAGGGCAAGUCUGGUGCCAGCAGCCGCGGUAAUUCCAGCUCCAAUAGCGUAUAUUAAAGUUGUUGCGGUUAAAAAGCUCGUAGUCGAAUUUGUGUCCCGCGCCGCCGGUUCAUCGUCCGCGGUGUUAACUGGCGUGCCGCGGGACGUCCUGCCGGUGGGCUUAGCUCUUCGGGGCGGUCCAACUCAAUCCCGCCGCGGUGCUCUUCACUGAGUGUCGAGGUGGGCCGGCACGUUUACUUUGAACAAAUUAGAGUGCUUAAAGCAGGCUAAAACUUCGCCUGAAUACUGUGUGCAUGGAAUAAUGGAAUAGGACCUCGGUUCUAU
RNAcentral lists this ribosomal RNA (697 nucleotides) under Tarsostenus carus. RNAcentral's name for it is "SSU rRNA". It matches the Rfam family "Eukaryotic small subunit ribosomal RNA", at positions 193 to 839 of the family's 1831-position model. Lineage: Eukaryota; Metazoa; Arthropoda; Insecta; Coleoptera; Cleridae. The record is from RNAcentral.